RNAcentral lists this ribosomal RNA (422 nucleotides) under uncultured archaeon. RNAcentral's name for it is "partial 16S ribosomal RNA". It matches the Rfam family "Archaeal small subunit ribosomal RNA", at positions 323 to 746 of the family's 1478-position model. The record is from RNAcentral.
CUACGGGGUGUAGCAGGCGAGAAAACUUUGCAAUGUGCGAAAGCACGACAAGGUUAAUCCGAGUGGUUUCUGCUAAAGGAACCUUUUGACAGUCCUAGAAACACUGUUGAAUAAGGGGUGGGCAAGUUCUGGUGUCAGCCGCCGCGGUAAAACCAGCACCUCAAGUGGUCAGGAUGAUUAUUGGGCCUAAAGCAUCCGUAGCCGGCUCUGUAAGUUUUCGGUUAAAUCUGUACGCUCAACGUACAGGCUGCCGGGAAUACUGCAGAGCUAGGGAGUGAGAGAGGUAGACGGUACUCGGUAGGAAGGGGUAAAAUCCUUUGAUCUAUUGAUGACCACCUGUGGCGAAGGCGGUCUACCAGAACACGUCCGACGGUGAGGGAUGAAAGCUGGGGGAGCAAACCGGAUUAGAUACCCUGGUAGUC